GCAAGGAUGUAUAAUUUAAUCAAGAGAAUUUCGGCAGUAUAACAGCAAGAAAAUUGGUGCAAGUUGCGAUAGCAGAAUUGUCGUCGAAAAAUUUCAGCGGGUUACGAUGAAAAUUUGCAGCAACACAAAAUCAUUUUUAGAGAUGAAUUCCUUAAUAUAUCAAUCUUAGAUGGAAGCCAAGAUGAUCUAUGAAGUGUAUAAGAAAUUUCAUUCAAAAAAGAUUGCAAAUAGAUGGGUUAAGGCAACAAUAUGCCGCUGAAAUUUUCUGCAGCACAGAUUUUUAAGUAUAGCAGAUUGGACGUAAAAGAUCAGUGGUUU
This 318-nucleotide long non-coding RNA is filed under the name Musa acuminata (dwarf banana). Its description in RNAcentral is "long non-coding RNA (MACU_LNC007945)". Lineage: Eukaryota; Viridiplantae; Streptophyta; Magnoliopsida; Zingiberales; Musaceae. The record is from RNAcentral.